CCCUCGGUGGUGCAAACGGUUAACACGCUUGACUGCUAACCAAAAGACUGGAGGUUCAAGUCUACCCAGAGGUG
This 74-nucleotide transfer RNA is filed under the name Loxodonta africana (African savanna elephant). It matches the Rfam family "tRNA". Rfam says of the family: Transfer RNA (tRNA) molecules are approximately 80 nucleotides in length. The record is from Rfam by way of RNAcentral. Lineage: Eukaryota; Metazoa; Chordata; Mammalia; Proboscidea; Elephantidae.